This 46-nucleotide small RNA is filed under the name Candidatus Sulfotelmatobacter kueseliae. Its description in RNAcentral is "Acido-Lenti-1". It matches the Rfam family "Acido-Lenti-1 RNA". The record is from RNAcentral. Lineage: Bacteria; Pseudomonadati; Acidobacteriota; Terriglobia; Terriglobales; Candidatus Korobacteraceae. RNAcentral also lists the same sequence under 1 other name.
CCCAGGACUUACGUCCUGGGCUAACAUAUGCCGCCCCUGCGGGGCU